Ictidomys tridecemlineatus (thirteen-lined ground squirrel) is the source of this 72-nucleotide non-coding RNA. Lineage: Eukaryota; Metazoa; Chordata; Mammalia; Rodentia; Sciuridae. The record is from Rfam.
UGGGUUGUGGCUCAGUGGUAGAGCACUUGCCUAGCACAUUUGAGGCACUGGGUUCAAUCCUCAGCACCACAU